AGAGCAGGAGGCUUCCAUCCACCCUUUCCAUCGCAACGCGGGAGCCCCCUCCUCAGAACCUACAUAAGGCACCGAAGCGCAGCCCAGUACGCGCGGGGACCCAUCUGGCCCAGCCCCAGGAAAGCAGCCACCGAGGGCAGACGCGCGCCUUACCUGCUACCAAGAGAUCAGCUGUCUAAACAGCAGCUUUUUUGAUUGUUGGGCUUCCUGAAAGAAACCUUGCUGACAGCUUCUCACUGACCUGCAGGACGGAACCGUACCUGAGAGGGGAUGGGGGCUCUCUCACAAAAGAAUAUUUGGGGCAGAACCCUGGAACUGGCCACCAGGGACAUCCCAAAUAUCCCCUCCUCCUCAGGGCUCACCCCGACAUCCUCAGCCAAAUGAAGGCUCUGAACCCAGCCAUCAGCUCGCAAGGCACAACUCACUUUGCAGGCUAAUCAAAAUGCUUUCUGAAGAAAAGAAAACUAAUUAUCCCACGGCUCUAUUUUUUGUUGUCGUUCUGUUUGAAAUAACUAUGAAGUCUUCACUCUGCCUAACACUAGGCCCCAACCCGCUGUUUCUUUCCACUUUUCAUCUUGCAAAACCAGUGCCUCCAACCUCUCUGGGGCUCACACAUCCCAUCAAUUUAUCAGGGACACAGUAGCAUGUUUAACCCUUUAGCCCUAGGCAGAAGUUCAUCCAGGGGAGUGGGAAAGUAGAGGCUGCUAUUCUGUACUGCUUUUAUUGGGGGGUGCUGGCAGUGGUUAGUUUGAAAAACGUUUGCUGUACGUUGCAUCAGAGGUCACAUUCAUGGGACAAGCUUUGAUUAACAAAUAAUAUAAGAAUUCCCUCUUUUCUUCUCUUACUUCCUACCUGCCUUUAUUUAUUUAUUUUUGCAUUCACAAAACUAAAGAGAAAGUCACUCCACAGAACACGAAUGGAAUAAAAGGCCAACCAUUCUACCUUUCCAAUCCUCACUCUCCCUUUCCCAUUCUUUACUGUUGCGUCAAGCAAUCUGCUGUACGGACGGGUUCGCACUGCUUUCCUUUAUUUUUUUUUCUCUUGCUGGCAUUAGAAAAGCCUGUAAAUAACCCAAGAAGAGGAGAGAAUUUUUUCCUUCAGCUCAUUUUCAUAAGAAACAUGAUACAUAAUACAUGGCACUUUAAUAAGACUUUAUCUGAACGGUUUAAUGAAAAACAA
This 1179-nucleotide long non-coding RNA is filed under the name Homo sapiens (human). RNAcentral describes it as "HSALNT0384370". Lineage: Eukaryota; Metazoa; Chordata; Mammalia; Primates; Hominidae. The record is from RNAcentral.